CCUCAUAAAAGGCCCUUCCAUUCGGUUGAGAGAGGCAGGGCUCUCAAGGGAAUUCAUGAGAGUUGGAGAUAAAUGUAAGGAGACAGAGAGGGUGCUAAUAGGAAUUUGAGAUCAGGAAGUCUCUCAAAAAGACUUUCAAGUGGGAAAGCAAGUUGCGGCCUCCAUUGGCAGGAAGGAGAUCAAGUUGCCUGACAUCUCAAAAACAACUUACCUAGACCUCCAGUGCUUAUGCGUGGCUUCAAGCAGGAGUGAAGGUGAACCUCUUGGUGAUCGACCAUGAUAAGUGAAUAUGUCUGUCCCAGAAAUGAACUCUUAGAGAAUCCGGCCCUUCACAUCGCUUGCGAUCGUGAAAAAAUUUAUCAUCAGUGCAAUGGAAGCAAGUGACUGAAUAGCCUUCGAGUCUUGGAUGCACA
Punica granatum (pomegranate) is the source of this 413-nucleotide non-coding RNA. NCBI's taxonomy places the organism in Eukaryota, Viridiplantae, Streptophyta, Magnoliopsida, Myrtales, Lythraceae. The record is from RefSeq and is a predicted model, not a curated record.